AGGAAGUGUGGUGUGAAGUUGGAGAGGAGUUUGGUGCAUUUGGCGAGAGGCAGGGCAAGUUUCUGCCCUGCUAAUGAACUCAGGUUCGGCAGCCGAAGGUACAUUCGGCCGCCGAACCCCUGAGGAGGUGUGAGGAGGUGGCUUCGGCUGCCCAAGCUUGCCCCCGAGCUUUUGGACUUUCGGCUCUGGAGGGAAGUUUGGCCGCCGAAGGUGCCACCGAAGGUUAGAGACUUUCAUCUCUGGAGUGCCUUUUGGCCUCCGAAACUUGCCCCCGAAAGGGUUCGACAGUCGAAAGUAGAGAUUCGGCCGCCGAAGGUGCUUGAGUUUCGUCUCUGGAGAGGACUUUCGGCCGCCGAACCUGCCGCCGAAAGUGUUCUGUCCAGCUUUCCUUUGCAUGCUUUACAUGAAUGUUAGAGUGAGUUUAAGGGAAUUCUUGGGAAGUUUAAUAGAGUUGGUCAUAAGCUUGUUUGGUCCCUCAUUUGAGUCUAUCUGUAUAGGUACAGACCAGAGGAACCAGAGAGAGCAGCAGUGAGUACUGCUCCAGAGUUUUCAGAGCCUGCAGAGUCAGUCAGUCCAGGUAGCCAGAGGUGAGUGGAACGAAACUUAACUCUUUUACUUGCACAAUGAAAUGUUUUAGCAUAUCUCAUGCGUCAUGAUUAUGCAAUAGGUUGAUUGCAUUAGUAUCCACGAAUAUGUUGCAUUACAUAGUUAUUUGUGGAUGUGGGUGAAUGCUGAAUGAUCCAAUAGUCUCAGACAGGAAGUCCAGGAGCCUUUGACUACGCCCUGGCAGGUAUAGUAAAGACCAGGAGCCUUUGACUACGCCCUGGCAAUGGUAAGUACAGAGGUGUUAUAUACACAUAUACAUAUAUGACAGGAAGACCAGGUGCUCGAUGCUACGCCCUGGCACAGAGUUACUGGGACUAUGUGGUGACAGGUUUACUCUUGAUGUGGAUUGUCUGUGAUAUGGUGCAUUCCAUGAGAUCAUCUUUUACUGAGAUGUUUUACUGUUCUACUCACUGGGCUAUAGAGCUCAUCCCACUCCCUGAACCCCAGUGUUGCAGGUUCAGUGUAUAGUGUAAAGAGGAGAUCAGCAGAGUGCCAAAAGAGUAAAGAGUAAAGAGAUUUGUAAUGUAAUAGCUUAGAGUGGACAUGUAAUAUUAAAGAGAUGUAAGAGUAGUGUAUAAAGUUAGAAAGGUGCUUGACUUAGUAAUGAUGUACAUGAUCUGAAUAUGUAUAUAUGUUUUUACUGUAUGUGAAACACCAGGCUUAACAGGUAUGAGUUAACCCAUCUAGAGCAAGCUCUAGUCAGGGGUACAGAGUACAGAGUAUAGAGUACAGAGAUAGUGCAUGCACAGGUUAAGCCUUGGUUCAGAAAAGAGUUUUUAUUUUCACAGAAAAUGUAUGAUCAUGUAUGAGUUUACAGGUACACAGAGAGUAUAGCAGGCUUGCUACGGGUUCUGGCGGCCUUAAGCCGACCUGAAUCCUAGCGCCGGUGACGGUCCAUUUUGGGGUCGUUACAGAUUGGUAUCAGAGCCCUAGGUUCACAUGAUCGGACCUAUAGAGACAGUGUUGGGCUCAUAGAGGUUAGAAGUGGUCAAGCACAAUAGGAAAUCAUGUCCACUAGGAUAGGGUGAUGAGUCCUAUCUAUUAUUACUAUGAUAUGCCAUGAGUUUUGCAUGUGCAUUAUUGAUAUGUGAUGUUUAUGUGCUAAAGUGCUAUGUUAUGUAUUGUUUUUCAGAGAGUAAAGAUGAGAGGAACUCGUCGAUCAACUCGAUUGACUGGAGUCCCACCAGAGAGUGAGAGACCAGCUGCUCGUCCUCCUGCAUUGCCAAGGGCAAGGUCUCAGAGAUCUAGCAGGGAAGGUACGUCAAUAGACCCGAGAAGGUCUGUAGACGAGAGCAGAAGAGGUAUAGCUAGGGGAGGAAGAUCAGAGGAAAGGAGGGAGGCUAUGGAGAUUGAUCAGUCUAGGGAUGAUAGUAUGGGUGUAGGCAGAUUUGAGGAAGGUAUGGGAGAGUCGUAGGGAGGUGCUUAGGCCUCAGGUUUUGGCUAUCCAGCCUUUUCGCAGGAUCCAGAGUUUCCGAUGGGAGGUAUGUCGGAGUACUCUAGUUUUGUCCCAUAUCCCCUUUACAUGCCAUAUAUGCCUUAUCCUUACUAUCCACCAUAUCCGAUGUAUCCACCUUCCCCUACCCAUCCAAGUGCAGCACACCCAGAGUCAAAUGACCCAGUACCACCACCACCAGAACCAGUAGCCCCUGUUGUUGACAGACAUCAACCUAGCUCAUCUGGAGGUAAGGUACAAAUGACGGAGUACUUGAAAUUGGAUGCUCCUAAAUAUAACACGGGAGAUGAUCCAUUUGAAUACCUCAUAUCAGUUAGACUGAUAACCAGUGAGUUGGGAGCUGAUGAUAGUAGAGCCAUUGAGAUGGCAGGGUUUACACUUAUGUGGAACCCAGGAUGAACAGUAUGUCUUGGGGAGAGUUCGCCAAUGAGUUUGCAGGGUGGGCUUUUCCUGACAGUUCUAGGGAGAUGAAAGUAAUAGAGUUCGAACAGUUGAGACAGACAGAUGAGAUGAGUGUUGAGGAAUUCACAGAUAAGUUCCUGGAUUUGCUUCAGUAUGUGGGUCAAGCCUAUGAUACUGAUCAGAAGAAGGCAAGGAGAUAUACUAUGAGACUGCAUCCCAGGUAUUCUUCCUUGAUUCUUCCAGCAGAAAAGGAGAGUUUCCACACGAUAGUGGACGCAGCCAGGAAAAUGGAAGCUAGUGCCAAUAUUCAGAAACAGUCAAAGGCACAGGCUUCGGGUUCUAAAGCCCCCAGUUCAGGCACGUCAGGCAGCAAGAGAUGGGAUAGAGCAAAAGGAACAAAGAGUAAGUUCUGGAGUAAAGUCAAGUCAGGUCUGGGAAUAGGUAGUGGCUCAAGCUCUGGCACAAUUCCUGUAUACAGAAGAUGCGGAAAACCACAUGGAGGAGUUUGUCGGUUGGGAUCUACAGCUUGUUUUAGAUGUGGACAGGAAGGGCAUAUUGCUCGGGAUUGUCCUCAGGUGACUUUUGCACCAUCCCAGCAUAUGAGUUUAGGCAGUGUGGUACAGCCAGUAGCUCCAGUCAUGCCUCAGAGUAGUGGCAGAGGUAGAGGGAGAGGGGCAGCCUCUACUUCAGCAGCAGGUUCCCGAGGUGGAAAUCCGGUAGCCCCAGCACGGAUUUUCACUGUGACACAGGAGGAGGCUAACACAUCAAACAUAGUGGUGUCAGGUAAUCUCAUCAUUGGGUGUUCAGAUGUGUAUGCUUUGAUGGACCCCGGUGCUUCUCAUUCCUUUAUUGCUUCGAGAGCCAUAGAGAGAUUGGGUUUGAUCAGUUUUGAGUUAAAGUAUCCUCUCUGGGUCAGUGGACCUAAAUGUGACCCAUCAGUGGCAGUGUCCGUCUAUCGUUUCAGUCCAGUGUUCAUAGAGGGUAGAUGCCUUCCAGCUGACCUUGUGGUUCUAGAUUUGACAGAUUUUGAUGUCAUUCUAGGGAUGGAUUGGCUAUCUGCAUAUAGUGCUACCUUGGACUGUAGAGAGAAGAUAGUGAGUCUCAGAGACCAGGAUGGGUCAGAGUGUGUCUUCAGAGGAGACAGGAGAGGUACACCCAGAGGUUUGAUUUCAGCCCUUCAGGCUCGUCGUUUGCUUAGGAGGGGUUGUCAGGGGUUUCUAGCUCAUGUGAGAGAGCUAGACAGUCAGGUGAGGGAACCAGCUACAGUACCAGUAGUUCGAGAGUUUCUCGAUGUUUUCCCAGACGAACUUCCAGGACUACCACCUGGUAGGGAGAUAGAGUUUGAAAUCGAAUUGCUGCCUGAUACCAGACCUAUCUCUAUUCCUCCCUACAGGAUGGCGCCAGCAGAGUUAAAAGAGUUGAAAGCGCAGUUGCAGGAUUUGGUAGAUAAGGGUUUCAUCCGCCCUAGUACCUCACCUUGGGGUGCUCCAGUGCUUUUUAUCAGAAAGAAGGAUGGAUCCCUCAGACUUUGUAUCGACUACAGACAGUUGAACAAGGUCACUACCAAGAAUAGGUAUCCUCUACCUAGGAUUGAUGAUCUAUUUGACCAGCUAGCUGGAGCAGGUUGUUUCUCUAAAAUAGAUCUGAGAUCCGGAUAUCAUCAGUUGAGAGUUAAAGAGGCAGAUGUGCCAAAGACAGCUUUCAGGACCAUAUAUGGGCAUUAUGAGUUCUUAGUGAUGCCGUUCGGGUUGACUAAUGCCCCUGCAGCAUUUAUGGAUCUCAUGAACAGAGUUUUCAGUGAGUUUCUAGAUCACUUUGUCAUUGUUUUCAUCGAUGAUAUUUUAGUGUAUUCCAGAGAUGCAGAGGAGCAUGCCCAGCAUCUGAGAAUAGUGCUGCAAACACUGAGAGAGCAUGGGUUAUAUGCCAAGUUCUCGAAGUGUGAGUUUUGGUUGAGGAGCAUUGCCUUCUUGGGACAUGUGGUAUCAGUAGAGGGUAUUGAGGUAGAUCCCAAGAAGAUAGAGGCUGUAGCUAACUGGCCCAGACCCACUACAGUGACUGAGAUUAAAAGCUUUCUGGGACUGGCAGGUUACUACAGAAGGUUCGUUCAGAACUUCUCAAAGAUAGCGGCUCCUAUGACCAAAUUGACUCAGAAGAACCAGAAGUUUGUCUGGUCAGACCAGUGUGAAGAGAGCUUUGAGGAGCUCAAGAGGAGAUUGACAACAGCACCAGUGUUAGCUCUGCCUGUCAGUAAUGAGGAUUUCACAGUGUUCUGUGAUGCAUCUCGAGUGGGAUUGGGUUGUGUUUUGAUGCAGAGUGAUAGGGUGAUAGCUUAUGCUUCUAAACAGUUGAAGAAGCACGAGUUGAAUUACCCCACCCAUGACCUAGAGAUGGCAGCAGAUAUCUUUGCACUUAAGAUGUGGCGGCAUUACCUCUAUGGGGUUAAAUGCGAGAUCUUCACCGAUCACAAGAGUUUACAGUACAUCUUGAGUCAGAGAGAACUGAAUUUGAGGCAGCGAAGAUGGGUAGAAUUGCUCAGUGCUUAUGAUUGUACGAUCCAGUAUCAUCCGGGUAAGGCGAAUGUUGUGGCAGACACCCUAAGCCGGAUGUCACUAGGCAGUUUAUCCCAUAUAGCAGCAGAGCGGAGACCAGUCGUGAUGGACCUUUACAAGCUCUUAGACGAGGGGUUACAGUUAGAGUUAUCUGGUACAGGUGCGUUGAUAGCACAGAUGAGAGUGACACCUGUGUUUCUGGAGCAGAUAGCUCAGAGAUAGCAUGAGGACCCAGAGUUGAUGAAAAUUGCCAGGACUGUUCAGUCAGGCAAUGGUGCAGAGUUUAAAUUUGACAGCAAAGGGAUCCUCCGUUAUGGGAGUCGACUUUGUGUACGCGAUAGCAGUGUGAAGGAAGACAUUAUGAGGGAAGCUCAUAAUGCGAGGUAUAGUGUUCACCCAGGAGCCACCAAGAUGUACCAGGAUCUGAAAAGGAUUUAUUGGUGGCCAGCCAUGAAGAAAGAAGUGGCGCAGUUUGUGACAGCCUGUGAGGUUUGCCAGCGGGUGAAACUAGAGCAUCAAAAACCAGCCGGAAUGCUUAACCCAUUGCCAAUUCCAGAAUGGAAAUGGGAGAACAUAGCUAUGGAUUUUGUAGUGGGUUUACCAGCUACGUCCAACAGGAUAGACUCUAUUUGGGUGAUUGUGGACAGACUCACUAAAUCUGCUCAUUUUCUUCCAGUACGGAGUAACUAUUCUGUGGAUAAAUUGGCACAGGUCUAUCUGAAUGAGAUCGUGAGAUUACAUGGUGUUCCAGUGUCUAUAGUUUCAGACAGAGGACCUCAGUUUACCUCUAGAUUUUGGCGAAGUCUGCAGAGUGCGAUGGGCACGAGACUGGAUUUUAGUACUGCUUUCCACCCACAGACUGAUGGACAGUCAGAGAGGACCAUCCAGACCAUAGAGGAUAUGCUUCGACUAUGUGUGUUAGACUUUGGCGGUUCUUGGAGGCAGCAUCUACCUUUGGUAGAGUUUGCCUACAAUAACAGCCAUCAUGCUAGCAUAGGGAUGGCUCCUUAUGAAGCUUUGUAUGGGCAGAAAUGCAGAUCCCCUGUUUGCUGGGAAGAGGUAGGAGAGAAGGCUCUUGCAGGGCCAGAGUUAGUAGAGAUUACCAGUAGAGUAGUGCCCAUGAUUAGACAGAGAAUCAGAACAGCGCAGAGCAGACAGAAAAGUUACGCAGACGUUCGCAGAAAGCAGUUAGAGUUUCAGGAGGGUAAUUGGGUAUUGCUAAAAGUGUCUCCAAUGAAAGGAGUGGUUCGGUUUGGAAAUAAGGGUAAGUUAGCCCCACGAUACAUUGGACCCUUUGAGAUUUUGCAGAGGAUCGGACAUGUGUCGUAUCAGCUGGAUUUACCUGCUUCUAUGGAGAGAAUUCACCCGGUAUUUCAUGUUUUUAUGCUACGGCAGUUUGUGUCAGAUUCGAAUUAGGUUCUGAGUGAACCUGAGGUGGAGAUUCUUACAGAUCUCACCUAUAUAGAGCAGCCAGUGCGGAUUCUGGACACACAGAUCAGACAGCUAAGGAACAAAGAGAUUCCGAUGGUGAAAGUCCUGUGGAACCACCAUAAUCUAGAAGAGUGCACCUGGGAGACGCGGGAGUCUAUGGUCCAGCAGUAUCCAUAUUUGUUUUGAGGUUAGUUUCCUCCUUUUUAUGUGUUACUUGUUUGUUUUCGGAACAUUCGGGGACGAAUGUUCUUAAGGGGGGAGAAUGUAAUACCCGGCUAGAGUCCAGCAUCGGAAUUCUUCGUUCCGAUGGAGUUUCGGAUGUCAGACGUUUCUAGAAGGGUGAGAUUUAUGUUUUUCUCAAAUGUUUUGGUAUGUUUCAUAGUGUUAAAGUAUAAAGAACUGAGUUUUUGAGUGAAAUGAACCAAGGCAGAAAAGCCAGGUUCGGCCGCCGAAGUUGAGGUUCGGCCGCCGAACAUGCAUGGCUUUCGGUUUCACGUGUGGCCGCCGAAGAUGGUCUGGCCAGCCACCUAUAAAUGGCCCUCAGUCGGUUGAAUCGGUAAGAGCACUGUUUAUUUCACUUGCUGAGGUGAAACUCUGUCCUUUGUGAGUAGUUCUUCAUGUUUUCAUGAAAUCAUGCAAAGAUUUGAUUCGUUUUUGUGAUCUUUUGAAGGUUUUAAGCUAAAAACUCAAAGUUGUGAAGUUUGGAGAGUUUGAAGAAGAGUUGCUCCAAAACUCCACGUUAGGAUCGUUCAUCUUCUUGGUUUCAAGAGGUAAGUGAAGAUCCUGAGCUUGUUUUUAUGUUUUCUGAAGGUUUUAUGGGGUUUAUGGAGAGAGUUGCAUGAAUAGGUUAAAAAGAGAGGUUUUGAUGAUUUUGUGCAUAGAGCUUGUUUCUGUGUUGUUUGUGUUGUAUGUUUGGGGUUUUUAGGUAGUUUUUGAACCCUUUGAGCAUAUACAUGAGUGUAUGCACGUUGAGGAAGUGCGGUGUGAAGUUGGAGAGGAGUUUGGUGCAUUUGGCGAGAGGCAGGGCAAGUUUCUGCCCUGCUGAUGAACUCAGGUUCGGCAGCCGAAGGUACAUUCGGCCGCCGAACCCCUGAGGAGGUGUGAGGAGGUGGCUUCGGCUGCCCAAGCUUGCCCCCGAGCUUUUGGACUUUCGGCUCUGGAGGGAAGUUCGGCCGCCGAAGGUGCCACCGAAGGUUAGAGACUUUCAUCUCUGGAGUGCCUUUUGGCCUCCGAAACUUG
This 7680-nucleotide long non-coding RNA is filed under the name Manihot esculenta (cassava). RNAcentral's name for it is "long non-coding RNA (MESC_LNC005456)". Lineage: Eukaryota; Viridiplantae; Streptophyta; Magnoliopsida; Malpighiales; Euphorbiaceae. The record is from RNAcentral.